GAUGAACGCUGGCGGCGUGCCUAAUACAUGCAAGUCGAGCGAACAGAUGAGAAGCUUGCUUCUCUGAUGUUAGCGGCGGACGGGUGAGUAACACGUGGGUAACCUACCUAUAAGACUGGGAUAACUCCGGGAAACCGGGGCUAAUACCGGAUAAUAUUUUGAACCGCAUGGUUCAAUAGUGAAAGACGGUUUCGGCUGUCACUUAUAGAUGGACCCGCGCCGUAUUAGCUAGUUGGUAAGGUAACGGCUUACCAAGGCGACGAUACGUAGCCGACCUGAGAGGGUGAUCGGCCACCAUGGAACUGAGACACGGUCCAGACUCCUACGGGAGGCAGCAGUAGGGAAUCUUCCGCAAUGGGCGAAAGCCUGACGGAGCAACGCCGCGUGAGUGAUGAAGGUCCUCGGAUCGUAAAACUCUGUUGUUAGGGAAGAACAAAUUUGUUAGUAACUGAACAAGUCUUGACGGUACCUAACCAGAAAGCCACGGCUAACUACGUGCCAGCAGCCGCAGUAA
RNAcentral lists this ribosomal RNA (514 nucleotides) under uncultured bacterium. RNAcentral describes it as "partial 16S ribosomal RNA". It matches the Rfam family "Bacterial small subunit ribosomal RNA", at positions 28 to 523 of the family's 1533-position model. The record is from RNAcentral.